UUCCCUAGUACGGCGAGUGAAGCGGGAAGAGCUCAAAUUUGAAAUCUGGUAGCCUUCGGUUGCCCGAGUUGUAAUCUAGAGAAGUGUUUUCCGCGUUGGCCCAUGUACAAGUCCCUUGGAACAGGGCGUCAUAGAGGGUGAGAAUCCCGUCCUUGACAUGGACCCCCAAUGCUUUGUGAUACACUUUCAACGAGUCGAGUUGUUUGGGAAUGCAGCUCAAAAUGGGUGGUGAAUUCCAUCUAAAGCUAAAUAUUGGCGAGAGACCGAUAGCGAACAAGUACCGUGAGGGAAAGAUGAAAAGCACUUUGGAAAGAGAGUUAAACAGUACGUGAAAUUGUUGAAAGGGAAACGAUUGAAGUCAGUCAUGCUCUUUGGAUUAAGCCGUUCUGCGGUGUAUUUCAUUGAGCGGGGUCAACAUCAGUUUUGAUCGCUGGAAAAGGGCAGGAGGAAGGUAGCACUCUCGGGUGAACUUAUAGCCUCUUGUCGUAUACAGUGAUUGGGACUGAGGAACGCAGCAUGCCUUUUGGCCGGGAUUCGUCCACGUACAUGCUUAGGAUGUUGACAUAAUGGCUUUAAACGACCCGUCUUGAAACACGGACCCC
Molecule: ribosomal RNA, 602 nt
Filed under: Naganishia friedmannii
Lineage: Eukaryota; Fungi; Basidiomycota; Tremellomycetes; Filobasidiales; Filobasidiaceae
Description: eukaryotic LSU rRNA
Rfam family: Eukaryotic large subunit ribosomal RNA
Source: RNAcentral